Molecule: long non-coding RNA, 1783 nt
Filed under: Triticum aestivum (bread wheat)
Lineage: Eukaryota; Viridiplantae; Streptophyta; Magnoliopsida; Poales; Poaceae
Description: long non-coding RNA (TAES_LNC002823)
Source: RNAcentral
CCGUCGCUAACUAAGGUAAUUCUUCACCAAUCCCACUACAUGUUUGUCAUAGUUACGAGAUUCAGUUGAUUGAUGCUCGCAGCCAUGAUUCAUGGUCAGUUGGACCAAAUCGGACAUGCUAUCAGGUCCUUAUUUCUGAAAGUUGGCUCUGUUUUGGUUAUGGUUUUUAUUGUAUCUAAAUAAACAAUUUGAAUUAUGGCUUAUGGUGAAGGCCAGAGGAUAUUCUUUCCAUUAUGGUAAUUGAAAGUUACAUAUGGAAGAGUAGAAUUUUCAGUUUCUUAUUUUAUUUUUACUGUCGAUCGUUAAAGGAGAACUUUAGGUUUCUUAUUUAGGUUGGACAUUAUCAGGAAUCUUGUUCUGUCGCCUCUGCUUACUUUACUCUAAGGCAAUAUGUCCUUCUCUGAAUUUAUUCCAAUAUUGCAGAGCCUCUUCUAUUUUUUCCUUUUGGCAUGGACUAGGAUUCACAUUGAGUACUACAGUAUUCUGUAGAGUACAUGUCUGAUUAUUAUUAUUUUCCCUACACAUAUUCUAUGGAUGUGAAAUAGGAUAAUCUGUACUGAAUUUCUAUCAACAACAAGCGCCUCGAUGAGGACACUGAAUUUCUCUCCUGUGAGCAAUCAUUAAUCUCCCACUAUGUUCUUAUUCCUCCAUUGUCAAUGAUACGCCACGUUUUAAAAAUCUGAUUGGUUCAUGUAUGGUGUAGCUGUGUUGUUGUGUAUGACCAAAACAAGAGUCUUGAUCUUGUGAAAUCCCUAUGGGCUUGCCUGUAAAACCUAAUCGUUUCUAAUUACCUGUUUCUGAAGUGCAAAACACAGGACAUCCACAGUUCAGUAUUCUGAACUGAAACUCGACAGUUUUACUGGAAAGAAAUUAACAUAUAAUUAUAUAAAAACAAGUUAUACAAAAUUCAUGGAUGUGGGUAUUAUGGACAGAAUUCUUCUUUGCACAGACCUGAGUACUUGGUAGUGUAAAUAAAUAAAUGGAUGAGCUUUCAGAAGGUUUCAUACAACUGCAAUCUGCAGAUGCACUGUUCAAGAAAAAGGGAACCCAACUGCCUAUAGUUCAGGCCAGCCUCUGAUAUGUCUUUUUGAUUGAGUUAACUGGCACCGGAAUCUGAAUGUCUUUCACAGAGUUAUGGUUGUCCAGCUCAUUCAGACAUUUUGUUUCUCUUGCGACAAACAUCCUAUCUUCUGUACUUCCAAGCUCCUAUAUUUUUGAACUAGACAAUCAGCUUCUAGCUGUGCUGCACUUGCCAUAUUUCUUCUCAAACUAAACUUCUACACCAAUGCCAUUUUGUGUUUUUUUAAACUCUGAUGCUAUUGUUUCAACCAUUAAUAUUGAAAUGUGUUCCCCAAGCAUAUUUGAUAUUUAACUGUGCUUUGGUAAGGUGCCAGGUGCUACUGGACAAGUAGAUACAGAAAUACUUAUCAGUGGUGGUCAGCAGCCAGCAAGAGAAUUGUUUCCAUCUCAUGCCAUAUAUUUGUGUUGUAUCAGUAUCUAAACUGCUCCUGUGUGCAGGUAACAUAGGCAACAAUUCAAGUAUCGAAGGAACCUAUGGCUUUUGGAGUUCUGCUAGGAAAAUUCUCUUUUGUAAGAAGGCCAAAUCUUUUCCAAGGAUUUUCAAGUGACCAUGUAUUUCAGGUUUCUGUUCUGUCUCCAUUUUUAGGCUUCCUUGAAGUUCUACUGAAAUGGCUAUUUUGAGUGUUCGCUAUCAUUUCAAUAUGAAGUAACACGAGAAGUCAAAUUUUGUUGCAUUUUCUAUCCAUAUAUGAAAAGAAAUGAG